UGGAGCUUGCUCCACGGAUUAGUGGCGAACGGGUGAGUAACACGUGAAUAACCUGCCCUCAAUUUCGGAAUAACCCAGGGAAACCUGGGCUAAUACCGGAUACGUAAACCUGUGGCAUCACAUGGUUUUGGAAAGUUUUUCGAUUGAGGAUGGAUUCGCGGCCUAUCAGCUUGUUGGUGAGGUAAUGGCUCACCAAGGCGACGACGGGUAGCCGGCCUGAGAGGGUGGACGGCCACACUGGGACUGAGACACGGCCCAGACUCCUACGGGAGGCAGCAGUGGGGAAUAUUGCGCAAUGGACGAAAGUCUGACGCAGCGACGCCUCGUGAGGGACGAAGGUCUUCGGAUUGUAAACCUCUUUCAGCAGGGACGAAGCGAAAGUGACGGUACCUGCAGAAGAAGCACCGGCUAACUAUGUGCCAGCAGCCGCGGUAAUACAUAGGGUGCAAGCGUUGUCCGGAUUUAUUGGGCGUAAAGAGUUCGUAGGCGGUUUUUCGCGUCGGAUGUGAAAACUCAGGGCUCAACCCUGAGCCUGCAUUCGAUACGGGAAGACUCGA
RNAcentral lists this ribosomal RNA (557 nucleotides) under uncultured Actinomycetes bacterium. RNAcentral's name for it is "bacterial SSU rRNA". It matches the Rfam family "Bacterial small subunit ribosomal RNA", at positions 74 to 645 of the family's 1533-position model. The record is from RNAcentral. Lineage: Bacteria; Bacillati; Actinomycetota; Actinomycetes.